CAAAUCAUUGUUUACUUCUGAAUGUCAGCCAACAGAAACCAAGUUACACUUUGGAAACUGUACGGUUCUAAAUAUUGCUUAGACGAGAAUACAAGAUCUGCAUGAGUAAGCAAGGGCUAGCUAUAGGGAAUCAGCAUCAAGUGACGUCCAGGGCACGCACCAAGGCCAGCAAGUAAGCCAGAUCCCCUCAUCUUCAUGGCUUGUGGACGCAGCCCAGGCUCAGACUGAUGUGUGCCUGAGUAGAUGCAGCAGAGCAAAGCUAGGCGCAGAGCACUGUGCUCUUCUUAGUUGCAGAAGUAAGAUUAAUUGUCCAGUGACAUGUCUCUGUCAUGUCACUGAAUGCAGAAAGACCAAAGAUUCUGGCAUCAUUAUAUUAAAGCAGCACCUCAAGAAUCUUUUCUUUCUUGCUCUGCCAGUUAUGCUAUAAGAGAAGAAUCUAUUAUAUUGGAAAGGAUGCACUGCAGUUGUCCCAACUCCCUCCACAGCCCAAGUAUGAUAUUGCAGCCUGGCAAGAGAUUAAAUGAUUUAUGAGAAGAAAAUGCUUCAGUGAAAGCAGAUCUAUAAACGCAACCCCACUGCUGAAAACGCUAGUGAUACUGAUCAGUGAAUUGCAACAGAAAUUGUGAGCCCACUGAAAAGAUAAAGUGCAUUUUUCUCAUGGGAGAACAGUUUUUUCAAAACAACGGUGACUGUGCCAGCAGUGGCGAAAGGGGUGUAAAAUUGCCUUGUUUAGAUCUUAGCUUGGCCCACGUGUUACCCAUCUCAUAUCACAUAUUGCUGUAAUAAUGGGGAAGAGAGAUUCUGUGGGAGAAAGAAAGAAACCUUUAUGUGGCCAUUUAUUUAUUUAUUUUCUGGAAGUAGCAUCUGUUUGAACAAAUCAUGGUUUUGGAAGGCUAUAAUUAGCACUGAUUGGAAGAUAGUGAUGUGCCAAAUUAAGCAGGGUAGGUAGCAGUGCCAACGAAUACAACUGUACAGUACUUUUGAAGUUAAGAUCCAAACUUUGUUUGCCAUAGUUUUGCCAAACUUCAGAUGCUGUGCUGAAAAUUUUCUUGCUGAAUGCCUGAUUCACACAGGAUUUUCCCUUUCCCUGGUUCAUCCCCCUUUGCUUUAAAGUUUCAGCUGUUUCUGAGAGUGAGACAAAAGGAAAAGAUGUGCUGCUAAGUUAAGAAGAAUUUUGGCAGCCUUAUCUUCUGACCAGAUCUUGCAUCCCUAAGUUUUGAGUAGGGCUUGAGAGUCGUCAGUAAGCAGUAUUUGUGGCCAGAACGGCCUUACACAGUGCAAUGCUACCCCAGACUGCACUUAUUUCUGAAAGGUCUCAGUCUAUACGUGCUCAGCAGAAACCUGGAGUCAGAGCCAAAAGGUGUCAACAGAACAGUCUCUACAAAUCCUGUCUGAUCAGGGUCACCUACAUUUACUUGUAAGUUUCUCUAGUGCCUGAAUUUCAGCUACCACAUAUUUUCAGUCUGAAAGAACUGGGAUCCACCUUCUGUUCAAGACCACACAAGACACACAGACUAAGCAUCAUCAGGUCCUAUUCCUAUGGGAGACAAGGAGUUGUGUGGCCCAGUCUCUGUCACGAAACCUAUUUGGGGAAUUUCACAAUGACAGCUUAGGGCACAAGCAUCCCCAGAACCUGGUCCUUCUUGCCAUGCUACGGAAUGGGCAGCCAAUCAGGUAAGCGUUUAAACUCUGAACAUUAGCUGUAAUGUUAUUACUUCGUGUGCCAGCAGACCGGCUGUGCGGAGAGGAAGCAGCAGCUCUGGGGACAGGCAUCAGGCAGAGGGGCACGGGGUGGAAGAGCCCAAGAGCCCAAGCAGGCCAAGGAGGUGCAACGGGAGGCAGAAGAAUAGCAAAAAGUGUUUCCAGAAGCUGUGUCAGCUGAACUACUCCACAGUGUCUAAAGGGUAUGUGAUAGUGCAGGCACACAGAGGAAGGAAACUUUAAUUCUGCUUGUCAAACUGAUAAUUAUUUGACUUCCAGGGUUCCUGAUAGUGAAACAUUAUUGUUCUCUUGACGCAACUUCUUUAUGUGCAAAAUAUCCAGAGAGUGAAAUCUCAGUGUCACUGAUCUCAGUGUAAAUUUUGUCACCGAGUCUAUUUGGAUGAAGAUUUUACCCAUAACAUGUAAUAAAUGGAGAAACACAAUCA
RNAcentral lists this long non-coding RNA (2147 nucleotides) under Anser brachyrhynchus (Pink-footed goose). Its description in RNAcentral is "lncRNA (ENSABRG00000005801.1)". The record is from RNAcentral. Lineage: Eukaryota; Metazoa; Chordata; Aves; Anseriformes; Anatidae.